UCCUGGUUUCCCAGGCAGUCCCAUCAGAGUGCUCCCGAAGGAUAGCAACUGACAGCGAGAGUUGCGCUCGUUAGAGGACUUAACCGAACAUCUCACGACACGAGCUGACGACAGCCAUGCAGCACCUGUGUAAUCGUCUGGAUCAAAGACCCAGAAAGCUGUGUUUCUACAGCGGUCGAAAACAUGUCAAGCCUAGGUAAGGUUCUUCGCGUUGCGUCGAAUUAAACCACAUGCUCCACCGCUUGUGCGGGCCCCCGUCAAUUCCUUUGAGUUUCAACCUUGCGGUCGUACUCCCCAGGCGGGGUACUUCCUGCGUUAGCGCCGGCACCCAGAGGGUCGCUCCCCCAGGCACCUAGUACCCAUCGUUUACGGCGUGGACUAC
This 382-nucleotide unclassified non-coding RNA is filed under the name uncultured bacterium. Its description in RNAcentral is "contains 16S-23S intergenic spacer region". The record is from RNAcentral.